Non-coding RNA from Drosophila melanogaster (fruit fly), 868 nucleotides. Lineage: Eukaryota; Metazoa; Arthropoda; Insecta; Diptera; Drosophilidae. The record is from Ensembl.
GAGGGGAGCUGGAUAUGGAAGGGGGGCUUUGGGAAGCCCAGAACAGGAGUAGGCAGCAACAGGGCGAAAAAAAAAAAACGGCCAUCAAUGGAGGCAGCUCCUCUUGGUUGCAAGUGCAACGGCUCCUAGUUGGCGAGCUGGGGCAUUUCCCCGCCAUCCCGUCUCUGUCGCUGUCCCAGUGUUUUUGUGUUUUUGCCAUUCGGUCGCUUUUGGUUCGGUUCGCUGGUUCGACGUUUGGGCCCGCUCGGUCCCGACGUGUUUUUUGUUGGGUGUCAUACAAAAACAUUUUGCCGCCAAACAGAAUGGCUAAGGCAGCUCCUCCUGCUGCUCCUCCGGCUCCUGCUGCUGCUGCUGCUGCUGCUGCCCAACCUGUCAACCGCCUUCCCCCUGGACUCGUCCCACUCUCUGCUCCUUCUCCACCAGCGAUGCAAACUUUGCGAAUCACUUUUUUGGUUGCAUGACCAACGCACAGCACAGCACACCGUGGGCUUGCGUAAGUUCGGGCUUAAAGUUUGGCCAACGCGGCGUAUGAGCAAUGUUUAAAGGGUGCUACCUGACAGAGUUCAGUCCACUCACCUGACAAACAACUGCUCCUGAUUGUUUACCCGCCAGGACACGACCGUCGCACCUGCAAACAGAAGGAAUGCUGUGGAAUAAUAACUAAAGAUGUGCGGAUUUCUAGAAGGAUAUAGGGACUACAUGUACUAAUCAAAUAAGAAGAAAUAUAUAUCAAGAGGUAUUAACUAUGCCCCCAGUAAAUCGAGUUCAAUUCAAGCUUUCAGCGGAACUUAACUAGUUUUCAGUUUUGUACAAUCGUACUAUGAUAUAGUAAAGUUAAGAACUAGAAAUAAAUGUAAUAUAACUAUGU